This 253-nucleotide ribosomal RNA is filed under the name uncultured bacterium. Its description in RNAcentral is "partial 16S ribosomal RNA". It matches the Rfam family "Bacterial small subunit ribosomal RNA", at positions 524 to 776 of the family's 1533-position model. The record is from RNAcentral.
UACGUAGGCAGCAAGCGUUGUUCGGAAUUACUGGGCGUAAAGAGUGUGUAGGCGGUGUUCUAAGUUUGUCGUGAAAUCUCCCGGCUUAACUGGGAGGGUGCGGCGAAAACUGGAAUGCUAGAGGAUGGGAGAGGUAAGCGGAAUUCCUGGUGUAGCGGUGAAAUGCGUAGAUAUCAGGAGGAACACCUGUGGUGUAGACAGCUUACUGGACCAUUUCUGACGCUGAGACACGGAAGCGUGGGUAGCAAACAGG